GCUUGUCUCAAAGAUUAAGCCAUGCAUGUAUAAGUUUAAUCGUUUAUCGAGAAACCGCGAACGGCUCAUUACAAUGGCCAUUAUUUACUUGAUCUUGAUUGUCUAAAUGGAUAACUGUGGAAAAGCUAGAGCUAAUACAUGCACUAAAGCUUUGUCCUUACGGAAAAGCGCAUUUAUUAGAACAAAACCACGCGGCUUCGGCUGCUUCUUGUUGACUCAGAAUAACUUAGCUGACCGCAUGGCCUUGUGCCGGCGGCGUGUCUUUCAAGCGUCCACUUUAUCAACUUGACGGGAGCAUAAUCGACUCCCGUGGUGGUGACGGAUAACGGAGGAUCAGGGUUCGACUCCGGAGAAGGGGCCUGAGAAAUGGCCACUACGUCUAAGGAUGGCAGCAGGCGCGCAAAUUACCCACUCUCGGCUCGAGGAGGUAGUGACGAGAAAUAACGAGACUGUUCUCUUUGAGGCCGGUCAUCGGAAUGGGUACAAUUUAAACCCUUUAACGAGUAUCAAGCAGAGGGCAAGUCUGGUGCCAGCAGCCGCGGUAAUUCCAGCUCUGCAAAUACAUAGAAUUAUUGCUGCGGUUAGAAAGCUCAUAGUUGGAUUCGUAUCGAUACCUUGGAACCCUUCGGGUGUCUCUAGGUGUUAUCGAUUUAUCGUAAUGUUCGGUUUUGAGUCCUUAACAGGAUUCUUAACAGGCAUUGCAAGUUUACUUUGAACAAAUCAGAGUGCUUCAAACAGGCGUUUUCGCUUGAAUGAUCGUGCAUGGAAUAAUAGAAAAUGAUUUCGGUUCAGUUUUAUUGGUUUUACGGACUGAGAUAAUGGUUAACAGAGACAAACGGGGGCAUUUGUAUGGUCCCGUGAGAGGUGAAAUUCUUGGACCGUGGCCAGACAAACUACAGCGAAAGCAUUUGCCAAGAAUGUUUUUAUUAAUCAAGAACGAAAGUCAGAGGUUCGAAGGCGAUCAGAUACCGCCCUAGUUCUGACCGUAAACGAUGCCAACUAGCGAUCCGCCGAUGGAAAUUAUAUUGCCUUGGUGGGGAGCUUCCCGGAAACGAAAGUCUUCCGGUUCCGGGGGAAGUAUGGUUGCAAAGCUGAAACUUAAAGGAAUUGACGGAAGGGCACCCCCAGGAGUGGAGCCUGCGGCUUAAUUUGACUCAACACGGGGAAACUCACCCGGCCCGGACACUGUGAGGAUUGACAGAUUGAUAGCUUUUUCAUGAUUCAGUGGAUGGUGGUGCAUGGCCGUUCUUAGUUCGUGGAGUGAUUUGUCUGGUUUAUUCCGAUAACGAGCGAGACUCUAACCUACUAAAUAGUUGGUACAUACUCUUAGUGUAUACAGCUUCUUAGAGGGAUUUGCGGCGUUCAGCCGAAAGAAAUUGAGCAAUAACAGGUCUGUGAUGCCCUUAGAUGUCCGGGGCUGCACGCGCGCUACACUGGCAAAAUCAACGUGCUUGUCCUACCCUGAAAGGGGCGGGUAAACCAUUGAAAAUUUGCCGUGAUUGGGAUCGGAAAUUGCAAUUAUUUUCCGUGAACGAGGAAUUCCAAGUAAGUGCGAGUCAUCAGCUCGCGUUGAUUACGUCCCUGCCCUUUGUACACACCGCCCGUCGCUGCCCGGGACUGAGCCAUUUCGAGAAAUUUGGGGACCGUUGAUUUAAUUUUUCUAAAUUACUUUGAUGGAAACCAAUUUAAUCGCAGUGGCUUGAACCGGGCAAAAGUCGUAACAAGGUAGCUGUAGGUGAACCUGCUGCUGGAUCAUUACUUUAUGUGAUGUUCAAAUUUGAAUUCGCAAUGAAAUGAUCGUUGUGAAACGGCUGUCGCUGGUGUCUAAGUGUUGCUGAUACAGUUGUGAACGUCCGUGGCUGUAUAUGUGGUGACAUGUUAGGACUCUAAUGAGUUUAAGACCUAAUGAGCCUCUUAAGUGAGGCCGCCAGCAACCUUUUUUUUCUCUACAUUUUAAAAAAAAAACUAAAAUUCUACCCUUAUCGGUGGAUCACUAGGCUCGUGGAUCGAUGAAGAACGCAGCAAACUGCGAUAAUUAUUGCGAACU
Molecule: ribosomal RNA, 2047 nt
Filed under: Meloidogyne incognita (southern root-knot nematode)
Lineage: Eukaryota; Metazoa; Nematoda; Chromadorea; Rhabditida; Meloidogynidae
Description: SSU rRNA
Rfam family: Eukaryotic small subunit ribosomal RNA (bases 1-1758)
Source: RNAcentral